GACGAACGCUGGCGGCGUGCCUAACACAUGCAAGUCGAGCGGGGUUGAGGCGAGAGGUAACUCGAACUUCUACCUAGCGGCGGACGGGUGAGUAACGCGUGGGCAACCUGCCUCAAGGUUUGGGAUAACAGCCCGAAAGGGCUGCUAAUACCGGAUAUGCCUAUGGCCUCGCAUGGGGCUAUGAGCAAAGGGGAAACCCGCCUUGAGAUGGGCCCGCGUCCCAUCAGCUAGUUGGUGAGGUAACAGCUCACCAAGGCGACGACGGGUAGCCGGCCUGAGAGGGUGACCGGCCACACUGGGACUGAGACACGGCCCAGACUCCUACGGGGGCAGCAGUGGGGGAUCUUGCACAAUGGGCGAAGCCUGAUGCAGCGACGCCGCGUGAGCGAAGAAGGCCUUCGGGUUGUAAAGCUCUGUCGUGGAGGGACGAAACAAUGACGGUACCUCCGGAGGAGCCACGGCUAACGUACGUGCCAGCACGCCGCGGUAAAGUGUGUGUACUGAC
RNAcentral lists this ribosomal RNA (505 nucleotides) under uncultured bacterium. RNAcentral's name for it is "bacterial SSU rRNA". It matches the Rfam family "Bacterial small subunit ribosomal RNA", at positions 28 to 538 of the family's 1533-position model. The record is from RNAcentral.